UUGAAAGGGAAACGAUUGAAGUCAGUCAUACCAACGGGAAAUCAACCUUUUGAUCUUGGUUUCGUGGGUUUUGAAGAGUAUCAAAGCCUUCGGAUUCGCGAGAUUGGGAUCUCUUGGUGUACUUUUUCGUACGGUUAGUCAACAUCGGUUUUGAAUGUCAUAAAAUGACUGGAGGAAUGUAGCUUCGAUCUCGUAUUGAAGUGUUAUAGCCUUUGGUAGAUGUGAUGUUUGAGACCGAGGAUUGCAACGGAUACCCUUUAGGGCUAUUCGUCUGAUCUCUGAUACGUUGCCUUGAUGUUGAAAGCUUGCUUAUGAUGUUAGGSUAUUACGGUCAAAAGGUUAGAACGAAUUACAUUCGUUAAGGAUGUUGACGUA
Molecule: ribosomal RNA, 375 nt
Filed under: uncultured Glomeromycotina
Lineage: Eukaryota; Fungi; Glomeromycota
Description: eukaryotic LSU rRNA
Source: RNAcentral